Molecule: long non-coding RNA, 4476 nt
Organism: Cucumis melo (muskmelon)
Lineage: Eukaryota; Viridiplantae; Streptophyta; Magnoliopsida; Cucurbitales; Cucurbitaceae
Exons: 2
Source: RefSeq, a predicted model, not a curated record
UCAUAGAUACACACUUUAUAUACUCAUGAUUGUUUUAUUGCUGCAUUCCUCUUAACCUCUAUACUGAAAAGUAGUAUUUUUUUCUCUUAUUUUGUUUACUUUACCGUUCAGUAACCUCUUAUGGUUUGAUAAAAUUCUAAUGUUCAAGGAGUCUAGUUAUUGAUUGUUAGAAUUAGUGGGCUUAGCCCAUUGGGAUAUUUGCCCUAAAUAUUUUUUCCUUUUUUUAUCUCUUUGUAUUAUUCUAUUUAUUCCCCCUCUUGUACCUAUUGUAUUUUUAUCAGAAAAUAAUAAUAACAACAUAUCAUGGUUUUUCUCCCAGUACUCGGGUUUCCACAUAAGUUGUGUUUUGUGUUUUAUUGCUUUCGAUAUGGUACUAGAGCAAAGCAAAAUAGUUUAGGAGAAACCCAAAUAAAACAAGAAGCCGCUGCCACCAAGGACGCCAUCAGUACCGUUGUUGCCACCAUGGAAAAAUUGCUCCAACAACUUCAAAAGCCACCGACGGUCACAAUGGGACAACCCUUGUCGUCGUUCGCGCAGCCCUUCGACCAGAAUUAACCUCACGCGCCGCCUCUGUCAAGGUGUGGGCCCAUGUGCGCUAUCCGUUCGUCUCAACGCUCAACCCAAUCUCUUCUAUGCUCAGUCGACUAUCCAACUGUCUCACCCUUUUAGUCGGCCAUAGCACCACACAUUGCCCAUGCCCUCCGGUUACGGACAACCGCCACCAAAAUUAUACAGAUCCUUUACAGCAACCAUAUUUUUGUGGUCCCAGGAUUAACCAAAUCCAUAGCAAAUAUGGUUUUGAAGUUGGUGAAUCCUCGACACAGUUUAAAUCGACCGAUCUACCAAUGUAUUCAAAGAACUCGAUAAUUUUCCUUCCUAAUUUGCCUUCGAAUUAUAUAACUGACUCUGCUGCCUUUAAUGCUCGUUUCUCGACCCAUGCUAGUGAGAAGAACAGUGGGAAACCAAUCCCUGUUUGUGAGCACUGUAAGAAACAAAGGCACACUAAGGAUCAGUGUUGGAAACUCAACAGUCGUCCCCUAGGAGGUAAGAAACAUUCCUCCAACGAGCAACAGAACUCAGGGCGUGUCGAUGUUAGUGAGAUUGCCAGCACCUCUUAGUCAACUUGCCCUAUUGCUAGCCAAACCAGCCCUCUUCCUCUAGGUGGCAUUGCUCAGUCAAGUAUGCCUUAAUCCCUUGGCCUUGUCAGUGUUGAUGGGAAGAAUCCCUGGAUUUUGGACUCAGGGGCUACAGAUCACUUGACAGGUUCUUCGGAGCACUUUCUCUUAUACAACCUGUGCCGACAAUGAGAAAAUUCGGAUAACUGAUGGCUCUUUAGCAUUGAUUGCUGGCAAAGGGCAAAUAGUUUUCUCGGUCUCUUUCUCCAAAAUGUUUUGCAUGUGUCUAAGCUUUCUUAUAAUUUGUUAUCAAUCAGUAAGAUCACCUGUGAACUGUACUAAAGCUACUUUCUUAGCUGAGUCUGUUUGUUUUUAGGACUUGAGCUCAGGGAGGACGACUGUCACCGUCUGAUAUAGCAGGGGACUUUACAUCCUUGAUGAUGAUACCUUCGAUAGUAGUAUCUCUAGGACUAGUUUACUGUCUAAACUAUUUUAGCAUUUCUGAACAUGAUUGGAUGUUGUGGCUUUUUUUUAUUGGGUCACCCGAACUUUACUUUAUGAAGUGUUUGUUUCCUCAUCUAUUUUCUAAAAUUAUGACUCCUCUCUAUCUUAUGAUGUGUGUAUUCGGGCAAAAUAACAUCGGGUUUUUUUUUCCUCACAACUAUAUAAACCCACACAACUGUUUAUCCUUAUCCACAAUGAUGUUUGGGGUCUAUUCAAGGUCACCAUCUCAUCUGGGAAAUCGUGGUUUGUAACUUUCAUUGAUGAUCAUACACGUCUUACUUGGGUCUACUUUAUCAUCGAUAAGUAUGAGGUUUCCUCUAUUUCCCAAAACUUCUAUCGUACCAUUGAAACUCAAAUCCAUACAAAAAUUGUAAUUCUUCGGAGUGAUAAUGGUCGGGAAUUCCAAAACCAUAACUUUAGGGAGUUCUUAGUCUCCAAAGGGAUUGUUUACCAAAGCUCGUGCACUUACACUUCUGAACAAAAUGGGGUAGCCGGGCGAAAAAUCGCCAUCUUCUAGAAGUAACCCGUUCUCUUAUGCAAUCUACUUCCUUUCCUUCAUGCCUGUAAGGAGAUGCUAUUCUUACAACAACUUAUUUUAAUCAAUAGUAUGUCUUCUCUUAUCAAUCCUACCCUUCUACUCGUCUAAUUUAUGAGGUUCCCCUUUGUGUAUUUGGGUGUGUUGCAUAUGUCCAUAAUUUCGUCCCUAACCAGACCAAAUUUACCUCUCGGGCUUAGGUUUGUUGUGUGUUUGUUGGGUGUCCCCUUCAUCAGUGCAGUUAUAAAUGUUUUUAUCUGUCGUCCAUAAAAUACUUGUCACUAUGGAUGUUACUUUCUUUUGAGGACCGACCCUACUUUCUUGUUUGCCAUCUUCGGGAGAAGAGUGUGAGUAGGGAGUCUAACUGUACCUUAGAGUUUAUCAAACCUACUCCUAGUAUCGUGUCUUUCUAUCCUCAUCACAUAGUCCUAUCCACAAACUAAGUUUCCUAGAAAACGUAUUAUAGGAGACAUCUGAGAAAGAAAGUUGAGACCCCUACUAGUCAGUCAGUUCCAUUCCAAGACUCUAAAGCUCCUCGAGAUCAAGGUGUGGAAAACCCUACCAAACCUUAUAUUGAUUAAGAUGAGUGAGAAUGACAGGUAUGAUGUUGUUCUGGAAAAUGUGGAAGAACUGAGGUCAAAGUAGAAACCAGAAAUAAUGAAGCUGAACAAAGUCAUAUAGGAAAAAUUGAUGAGUAUGAUCCCUCUGCAGACAUUCCCAUUACGUUGAGAAAAGGUACUACAUCUUGUACAAAACAUUCCAAUUAUAAUUAUGUUUCCUAUGAUAAUUUCUAUAGCAAGCCUUUAUUCUACCAUAAUACCAAAAAGUAUCCAUACUACUUUAUGGUGUCAUAAAUGGAAGAAUGUUGUCAUUGAAGAGAUGAAGGCUCUGGGAAAGAAUAAAACUGGGAGAUUUGUGCUCUACCUAAAGGACAAAAAAUUGUUGGAUGCAAAAGGGUGUUCACUCUCAAAUACAAAGCAAAUGGAACACUAGAUAGACACAAGGCAAGCUGGAUGUUAAGAAUGCUUUUUUGAAUAGAGACUUAGUGGAGGAAAGUAAGAUUGCGCCCCGCACCUAGAUUUUUGGUCAGCAGGUAUGUAAACUCCAAAAAUCUCUACAUGGUUUGAAAUAGUCACCCAGAGCAUGAUUUGACAGGUUCACUACUUUUGUCAAGUCCCAAAGGUAUAGUGAGGGGCAUUUUAAGCAUACUUUAUUUUCAAAGGUUUCCGAGACAGGAAAGAUUGCAGUUCUGAUAGUGUAUAUGGAUGUCAUAGUUUUGUUUGGAGAGGAUCAGGCAGAAAUUAGUCUAACUAAAGCAUAGAAUAGGUGGUGAAUUUAAAAUUAAGGAUUUAGGAAAUCUGAAAUAUUUUCUUGGAUGGAGGUGGCUAGAUCUAAAGAAAGCAUCUUUGUGUCUUAGAGAAAAUACAUCCAUGAUUUGCUAACCGAGACAGGUAUGUUAUGAUGUCAUCAUGCUGACAGUUCUAUUGAAUUCAACUUUAAACUAGGAAACUUUAAUGAUCAAGUUCUAAUUGAUAAAGAAUAAUAUCAAUGCCUUGUGGGUAAAUUGAUUUACUUAUCCCAUACUCGUCCUGAUAUUUCCUUUGUCGUGAGUGUUGUCAGUCAAUUUAUGCAGGCUCUCUAUGAUGAACACAGGGAAGCUGUCAACAGAAUUAUGAAAUACUUGAAAACGACACCAAGUAAAGGGUUGAUGUUUAGAAAGUCAAACAAGAAGACCAUUGGGGCAUAUACUGACUCAGACUGGGCAGGAUCUAUUGUUGACAGAAAAUUUACCUCCGGUUAUUGUACCUUUGUAUGGCGCAAUCUUAUAACUUGGAAGAGUAAGAAGCAAAGUGUUGUGGCUAGAAGUAGCGUUAAGGUUGAAUACUGAGCUAUGAGUUUGGGAAUAUGUGAGGAAAUUUGGCUCUAGAAAAUCUUGUCUGAUCUUCAUUAGGAGUAUGAAACACCAAGGAAGUAUUUUUGUGAUAAUAAAGCCGCUAUUAUUAUUGCUAACAACCUAGUUCAACAUGAUAGAACUAAACAUGUUGGGAUUAUCGGCAUUUCAUCAAAGAAAUACUUGACAAUGAGAGCAUAUGCAUUUCGUACAUCCCUUCGAGCCAAAAGGUUGCUGAUGUUCUCACUAAGGGGUUUGUCAGACUAAACAUCAGUUUUUGUGCUAGCAAAUUGGGGCCCUAUUGGGAGAUUUGCCCUAAAUAUUUUUUCCUUUUUUAUCUCUUUGUACUAUUCUAUUUAUUCCCCUUUUGGACCUAUUGUAUUUUUAUUAGAAAAUAAUCUGAAAAAAAAAUAUCGUGGUUUUUCUCCCGA